RNAcentral lists this ribosomal RNA (165 nucleotides) under Oscillatoria terebriformis mar1. RNAcentral's name for it is "partial 16S ribosomal RNA". It matches the Rfam family "Bacterial small subunit ribosomal RNA", at positions 251 to 415 of the family's 1533-position model. Lineage: Bacteria; Bacillati; Cyanobacteriota; Cyanophyceae; Oscillatoriales; Oscillatoriaceae. The record is from RNAcentral.
GGUCGAGGCUAGGCCCACCAAGGCGACGAUCGGUAGCUGGUCUGAGAGGACGAUCAGCCACACUGGGACUGAGACACGGCCCAGACUCCUACGGGAGGCAGCAGUGGGGAAUUUUCCGCAAUGGGCGAAAGCCUGACGGAGCAAGACCGCGUGGGGGAAGAAGGC